RNAcentral lists this ribosomal RNA (495 nucleotides) under uncultured bacterium. Its description in RNAcentral is "partial 16S ribosomal RNA". It matches the Rfam family "Bacterial small subunit ribosomal RNA", at positions 28 to 507 of the family's 1533-position model. The record is from RNAcentral.
GACGAACGCUGGCGGCGUGCCUAAUACAUGCAAGUAGAACGCUGAAGGAGGAGCUUGCUUCUCUGGAUGAGUUGCGAACGGGUGAGUAACGCGUAGGUAACCUGCCUGGUAGCGGGGGAUAACUAUUGGAAACGAUAGCUAAUACCGCAUAAUAUUGACUAUUGCAUGAUAGUCAGUUGAAAGGUGCAACUGCACCACUACCAGAUGGACCUGCGUUGUAUUAGCUAGUUGGUGGGGUAACGGCUCACCAAGGCGACGAUACAUAGCCGACCUGAGAGGGGGGUCGGCCACCCUGGGACUGGGACACGGCCCAGACUCCUACGGGAGGCAGCAGUAGGGAAUCUUCGGCAAUGGACGGAAGUCUGACCGAGCAACGCCGCGUGAGUGAAGAAGGUUUUCGGAUCGUAAAGCUCUGUUGUAAGAGAAGAACGAGUGUGAGAGUGGAAAGCUCACACUGUGACGGUAUCUUACCAGAAAGGGACGGCUAACUACGUG